ACACAUCUGGCCUGCAUUUUCUAAGGUAUAGGUUCGACAUUGUGUUGAGAAUAUGGUAGCAACCUCGAAUCCUGAUGAACCAUCUUUUUCUGAUCCAAAAAAAAAAAAUUGGUGGAUUUAGUCAGGUACAUCGAAAAGGGCUACCUAUUGUCAAAGGUCAGCGGGCUUGUGAUGAGGAACCCAAGCAUAGGUCCGUAGGGGAGUCUUGAUGCCCGACACCUCAUGCCAACUGGUGUGAGAAUUGUCGAC
Molecule: long non-coding RNA, 249 nt
Filed under: Phoenix dactylifera (date palm)
Lineage: Eukaryota; Viridiplantae; Streptophyta; Magnoliopsida; Arecales; Arecaceae
Description: long non-coding RNA (PDAC_LNC018691)
Source: RNAcentral